AGAAAUUUAGGUUAACUAAACCAAGGGCCUUCAAAGCCCUAAAAGAAAGUAAAAAACUCUCAAUUUCUG
This 69-nucleotide transfer RNA is filed under the name Varanus rosenbergi. Its description in RNAcentral is "tRNA-Trp". It matches the Rfam family "tRNA". Rfam says of the family: Transfer RNA (tRNA) molecules are approximately 80 nucleotides in length. Lineage: Eukaryota; Metazoa; Chordata; Lepidosauria; Squamata; Varanidae. The record is from RNAcentral.